AUUGAACGCUGGCGGCAGGCCUAACACAUGCAAGUCGAACGGUAACAGGAAGCAGCUUGCUGCUUCGCUGACGAGUGGCGGACGGGUGAGUAAUGUCUGGGAAGCUGCCUGAUGGAGGGGGAUAACUACUGGAAACGGUAGCUAAUACCGCAUAAUGUCGCAAGACCAAAGAGGGGGACCUUCGGGCCUCUUGCCAUCGGAUGUGCCCAGAUGGGAUUAGCUUGUUGGUGGGGUAACGGCUCACCAAGGCGACGAUCCCUAGCUGGUCUGAGAGGAUGACCAGCCACACUGGGACUGAGACACGGUCCAGACUCCUACGGGAGGCAGCAGUGGGGAAUAUUGCACAAUGGGCGCAAGCCUGAUGCAGCCAUGCCGCGUGUAUGAAGAAGGCCUUCGGGUUGUAAAGUACUUUCAGCGGGGGGGAAGGGAGUAAAGUUAAUACCUUUGCUCAUUGACGUUACCCGCAGAAGAAGCACCGGCUAACUCCGUG
Molecule: ribosomal RNA, 490 nt
Filed under: uncultured bacterium
Lineage: Bacteria
Description: partial 16S ribosomal RNA
Rfam family: Bacterial small subunit ribosomal RNA
Source: RNAcentral